This 253-nucleotide ribosomal RNA is filed under the name uncultured bacterium. RNAcentral describes it as "partial 16S ribosomal RNA". It matches the Rfam family "Bacterial small subunit ribosomal RNA", at positions 524 to 776 of the family's 1533-position model. The record is from RNAcentral.
UACGUAGGCAGCAAGCGUUGUUCGGAGUUACUGGGCGUAAAGGGUGCGUAGGUGGCUCUAUAAGUAUGGUGUGAAAUCUCCCGGCUUAACUGGGAGGGUGCGCCGUAGACUGUGGGGCUAGAGUGUGGGAGAGGAGAGUGGAAUUCCUGGUGUAGCGGUGGAAUGCGCAGAUAUCAGGAAGAACACCCGUGGCGAAGGCGGCGAUCUGGGUCGAUACUGACGCUGAGGUGCGAAAGCGUGGGGAGCAAACAGG